RNAcentral lists this ribosomal RNA (206 nucleotides) under uncultured bacterium. Its description in RNAcentral is "partial 16S ribosomal RNA". It matches the Rfam family "Bacterial small subunit ribosomal RNA", at positions 568 to 774 of the family's 1533-position model. The record is from RNAcentral.
CGCGUAGGUGGUUUGUUAAGAUUGUUGUGAAAUCCCUGGGCUUAACCUAGGAACUGCAACGGUGACUGAUGAGCUAGAGUAUUGUAGAGGGUAGUGGAAUUUCCGGUGUAGCGGUGAAAUGCGUAGAGAUCGGAAGGAACACCAGUGGCGAAGGCGGCUACCUGGACAAAUACUGACACUGAGGCGCGAGAGCGUGGGAGCAAACA